GAUAACAUAAAGAAGGUCAGGGGCUUGAUACUGUAAGGUCCUCUUGAAGGGAGUAACACCUAGCGACGUAGAUCCCCAAGUUCUUGUCCUAUGGCCAUUAACUCGAUCUUCGGGUAUAAAUGGAGUUUCAAUCGAAACUCCAACUCCUGAGUUUACAUGAAAAAUAAAAGAUACGGAUUAGAAAAUAUAAAAUAAUUUAAUAAGGUAAGAAUGAAAAUCAGAGAAUUAUUAAACAAGAGUUACUAGGAUCAGAUCACUUUAUUUGUUUCUUCUUAUGAGCUCGACCACUUGACUAAACAGAGAACAGAGAAUCAUGAUACACAUUUCAAUCAUGUGAAUGUUUAUACCCCAUAUAAUUUAGCUAAACCCAAUCUUAAAUGGAAAAACACCCCUUGAUGUUAAUAUGCAUGCAAUAACCCAAUCUUUUGGGACUCUCAGAGAAGUAUAUUAUGUACAGAACUCCAUCACGGUAAUUAAUACACACAAAGUGAUCAAAAAGAAUAAAAUGAGAUGCGAUAAUAAAUAAAUGACUACUAGUAGGAAGAUUACAUGUUCUUCACGCUUACCAAUUUACGGGCACAUGAUGUAUCUGCUAGUUCAAUAAUGUUUUCCAUGCAUGUAAUAAAUAACUAUUUUAAACAUGAAAAGCUGGAAAGCUACGUGCACAAAAAUCUCCCUAUCUUUAGCAAAGAAAUUGGCUUUGUAGAUGCCAUAUUUUGGCAUAAGCAAAGUUCGAUUUGGAUGUUGUGAAUACAAAUCCAUUCACCAUUUUAGAACCACAUAAAAUAUACAAUCAAUUUUAAAGAAAGGGGAUGAGAAAGCCAUGACAUUAAAAUUCUAGUUAGCAAAUUCACUGGUAGAUUACCACAUCAGUAAGAACUCAUUAUCAAAAUUGAACUAAGGCAAACAACAUUUCUUAAAGUUGCUAGCAAAAUGGAUCAAAGGAUAAGCAGGGGGAGGGGGAGUAAGGGUUCACAUAUUUAAACUCAAAAUUUAUUUUAUUUGAGACUCAAUUUGAAAUUAGUCACAAAUGCUAGUCAUUCUAAAUUCACCUAAGCACUGUUAAAACUCAUAAUAUUAAACCCAAUAGUUGGAAAAGAUUCUUAACGUUGAAUUGCCAGAGAUGACGUUCGAUAGGACACAUGAUAUCUUACAUGGUUUACCCAAUUACAAACAACAGAAGAGGAUAAAAACUAAUAGUGAGCUAGAACAUUAUAAUGGAAGGAAGAAAAGAUCAGAAUGAAAUAUUAUUUAAUCAUGGAAAUGCCAUGUCAGGCGCACCUAUCAGAAUCGGAACAGACCAAUUACCACAUCCACCUAUUAUCACCGGCAUAACCAUAAAAAAGAUCAUUAAAAAAGCGUGAGCCGUUAUUAAAACAUUAUAAAGUUGAUGAGUGUUCAUUAAUGUAAUAUGUCAAAGUAUAAUUAUUUUCAUAACUAUGAAAUCAUUCGAAAGUGCAAACAAAGUAUAACAAAUGAAGGACCGGAUUAAUAUUUAUUUUUAGGUUUAAAAUUAGGAUAGAAUAACCAAAGGCAACACUUGAAAUAAACUAAUUGAACUACACUUGUCUUUAAAUAUACAAUUCAAGAGGAGAUUUUCUAAAAUAUCGAAAUGAAAUAACCAUGUCAUUGACACAUUAUUAAGGAAACAUAUUGUCAGAAAUCAGAUAAUUUUAUGAAAUCAAAAAUUUAUACUGAGUUACCAAAAUUCAAGAAAAUACCAUGGCUAACAAACUUGACAAAAUUCACCCAAAGAUUUAUUUUCCAGAAUCAAUGGCAAUAACUUAAAUUUUUAUCUAAAUUAAACCAACACAACAUGUCCGCGGAAUUAAAGCGGUAUGAAAGGAGGAAGAUGAAAGUGAGACGAAAGGUCGAAUUCAUACCUUGUGUUGGGCAGCAAACGAGGAACUUUUCGCCAAUUAUUUUGAUAAUGAACUUGAUCUUUGAACUCAACUUCAAUAGGAAUCAUAAAUAAUGAAAAGUGAGAGUUUGAUGAAUAGGAGAUUAUAUCGCGUGUUAUGUUUUUGUAAACCAGUUUUCCCUUUUCCCUCAUCAAAAACUUGUCCUCAAAUAGGUAAA
RNAcentral lists this long non-coding RNA (2079 nucleotides) under Capsicum annuum. RNAcentral describes it as "long non-coding RNA (CANN_LNC015265)". Lineage: Eukaryota; Viridiplantae; Streptophyta; Magnoliopsida; Solanales; Solanaceae. The record is from RNAcentral.